RNAcentral lists this microRNA precursor (104 nucleotides) under Marmota monax (woodchuck). Lineage: Eukaryota; Metazoa; Chordata; Mammalia; Rodentia; Sciuridae. The record is from RNAcentral.
AGCACAAUUGCUGGUUUGUAUGGGAGUUGCACAUUAGUUUUAUAAGAAACUGACAAAAUGUUUUUCCCAGAGUGACUAUACCAUUUUGUGCUUCCACCAGCAAU